Molecule: ribosomal RNA, 497 nt
Filed under: uncultured bacterium
Lineage: Bacteria
Description: partial 16S ribosomal RNA
Rfam family: Bacterial small subunit ribosomal RNA
Source: RNAcentral
GAUGAACGCUGGCGGCGUGCCUAAUACAUGCAAGUCGAGCGAACGGACGAGAAGCUUGCUUCUCUGAUGUUAGCGGCGGACGGGUGAGUAACACGUGGAUAACCUACCUAUAAGACUGGGAUAACUUCGGGAAACCGUAGCUAAUACCGGAUAAUAUUUUGAACCGCAUGGUUCAAAAGUGAAAGACGGUCUUGCUGUCACUUAUAGAUGGAUCCGCGCUGCAUUAGCUAGUUGGUAAGGUAACGGCUUACCAAGGCAACGAUGCAUAGCCGACCUGAGAGGGUGAUCGGCCACACUGGAACUGAGACACGGUCCAGACUCCUACGGGAGGCAGCAGUAGGGAAGUUUCCGGAAUGGGCGAAAGCCUGACGGAGCAACGCCGCGUGAGUGAUGAAGGUCUUCGGAUCGUAAAACUCUGUUAUUAGGGAAGAACAUAUGUGUAAGUAAAUGUGCACAUCUUGACGGUACCUAAUCAGAAAGCCACGGCUAACUACGUG